CAGUAGCCACGGGAAUACGUAGGGUGCAAGCGUUAUCCGGAAUUAUUGGGCGUAAAGAGCUCGUAGGCGGUUUGUCGCGUCUGCUGUGAAAACUGGAGGCUCAACCUCCAGCCUGCAGUGGGUACGGGCAGACUAGAGUGCGGUAGGGGAGAUUGGAAUUCCUGGUGUAGCGGUGGAAUGCGCAGAUAUCAGGAGGAACACCGAUGGCGAAGGCAGAUCUCUGGGCCGUAACUGACGCUGAGGAGCGAAAGCGUGGGGAGCGAACAGGAUUAGAUACCCCGGUAGUCCCUGUCUCUUAUAC
RNAcentral lists this ribosomal RNA (301 nucleotides) under uncultured bacterium. RNAcentral's name for it is "partial 16S ribosomal RNA". It matches the Rfam family "Bacterial small subunit ribosomal RNA", at positions 509 to 807 of the family's 1533-position model. The record is from RNAcentral.